GACGAACGCUGGCGGCGUGCCUAAUACAUGCAAGUAGAACGCUGAAGGAGGAGCUUGCUUCUCUGGAUGAGUUGCGAACGGGUGAGUAACGCGUAGGUAACCUGCCUGGUAGCGGGGGAUAACUAUUGGAAACGAUAGCUAAUACCGCAUAAUAGUAGAUGUUGCAUGACAUUUGCUUAAAAGGUGCAAUUGCAUCACUACCAGAUGGACCUGCGUUGUAUUAGCUAGUUGGUGGGGUAACGGCUCACCAAGGCGACGAUACAUAGCCGACCUGAGAGGGUGAUCGGCCACACUGGGACUGAGACACGGCCCAGACUCCUACGGGAGGCAGCAGUAGGGAAUCUUCGGCAAUGGACGGAAGUCUGACCGAGCAACGCCGCGUGAGGGAAGAAGGUUUUCGGAUCGUAAAGCUCUGUUGUAAGAGAAGAACGAGUGUGAGAGUGGAAAGUUCACACUGUGACGGUAUCUUACCAGAAAGGGACGGCUAACUACGUG
Molecule: ribosomal RNA, 495 nt
Filed under: uncultured bacterium
Lineage: Bacteria
Description: partial 16S ribosomal RNA
Rfam family: Bacterial small subunit ribosomal RNA
Source: RNAcentral